AGAGCUGCUGCGAGAAGAAGACCCAGGAGAUCUGGGGCAGCGAGCUGUGCGUCUGACAGCGCAGGUCCAGCAGCGUGGGCCCCAGGAAGGCGAUGCACAGGCCGAAGCUGAAGAAGACGCUCCAGUAGGGUCUGGCUCUGUAACCCAGGCUUGAAUGCAGUGGCAUGAUGGGUGCAAUCUUGUUACCUGUUACUGGUCUCUUCAGGUUUUCUUUUUGGCUCAAUCUUGAGAUGGAGGCUCGUUUUGUUGCCCAGGCUGGAGUGCAGUGGCUAUUCACAGGCACAAUCAUCAUACACUGUAGCCUAGAACUCCUGGCCUCAAGCGAUUUUCCUGUCUCAGCCUACAAAGUUGCUGGAACUCUAGGUAUGUGCCACCGUGCCUAGCUUCUGAUUUUAUUUAUUUGGGUGUUCUCUUUUUCUUAGUCUAGCUGAUGAUUUGUCAAUUUUGUUUAUCUUUAGAAAAAACAAGUUUUCAUUUUUUUCAUCUUUUGGUACUAUUUUUAGUCUCUAUUUUGUUUAGUUCUGCCCUGAUCUUUAUUCUUUCUUUGCUUCUACUAAUUUUGGGUUCAAUUUGUUUUUGCUUUUCUGGUUCCAUGAGGAGCAUCAUGGAGUUGUUUAUUUGAAAUCUUUCUACUUUUUAGAUAUAAGUAUUUAUCGCUAUAAACAUCUCUCCUAGUAUUGCUUUUACUGUAUCCUGUGGGUAUUGGUAUGUUGUGUUUCCAUUUUCAUGUUUCAAGACAUUUUUUUAUUUCCUUUUUAAUUUCUUCAUUGACCCAGUGGUUGUUCAGGUAUGUAUUAUUUAAUUUCCAUGUAUUUGUAUAGUUUCCAGGGGUCCUUUUGUUAUUAAUUUCUAGUUUUACUCCAUUGUAGUUUGAGAAAAUACUAGGUAAGGUUUCUAUUUUUUUUUUUUUUUUUUUUUCCAUAGAGAUGGGGUCUCACUCUGUGUUGCCCAGGCUGGUCUCGAGCUCCUGGGCUUAGGCAAUCCUCCUGCCCCCCGAAGUGUUGAGAUUACAGACAUGAGCCACCAUAGCCGACCUAAUUUUUUUUUUUUUUUUUUUAGAUGGAGUCUCUCUCUGUUGCCCAGGCUAGAGUGCAGUGGAACGAUCUUGGCUCACUGCAACCUCUGCCUCCCGGGUUCAAGCAAUUCUCCUGCCUCAGCCUCCUGAAUAGCUGGGAUUACAUACGUGCACCAUCACGUCCAGCUAAUUUUUGUAUUUUUAGUACAGAUGGGGUUUCACCAUGUUGGCCAGGCUGGUCUGAACUCCAGACCUCAAGUGAUCCACAUGCCUUGGCCUCCCAAAGUGCUGGAAUUACAGGUGUGAACCACCAUGCCCAACCUAGCCAGCCUGAUUUUUUAAUAUUUGUUGGGAUUUAUUUUGUGGCCUAACAUAUGCUCUAUCUUGGAAAAUGUUCCAUGCAUAUACAUUAACUUUAAUCUUCACAAUGGUCCUGUGAGGUAGAUAUUAUUAUCCCUAUUUUAUGGAUAAGAAAACUGAGGCUCAGGAAGGCAGAGUAACUUGCCUAAAGUCACACAGCAUAAGUAGCAAAGCUGAGUUUUGAGCCUGCGUUGCCUGACUCCAAAGUCUGGAUCCUUCCCAUGAGAAUGUCUGCCUCUCACAUUCAACUCCAAUACACACAUCUAAGACUAGUGCAUAAGCUGAUAGCUGUUAACAUUUUCCCCCACAGAAAAUGCAGCUGAACCAAGCCUGCCUAUCUUGUCUAUGAGCAGCUGAUUCUUUGAAUCUAAAGAAUUGAUACAGGACUUGAUACAUGUGGAAUAACAGAAAGAACCUGGACCGUGGAGUGAGACAGGCUUAGACUUGAGUUCUGGCUACACACUUGGCUGUGCCAACUCAAGGCGGCUACCUUGACAUUAUAAGGCUGAUUUUCUUCAACUGUAAAAUGUCGAUGUAGGAUUACAUGAUAACACAUGCAAAGCCUCUGGUAGAACACUCAGGGCAGCACUGCUCAUGCUUCUUAGUUGCCUUCCCCUGAUCUGGAGUGUCAAUUAAUCUUGGUUUGAGUUCCUCUUGCCCACCAGUGCACUUUGGUCCCCCAUUCAGUCAUGUAGCAAGGGGCUAUUCCUCCAGCUGUUCUUGAGUAAGCAUGGCACCUCACAUUCAUAUAGAAUGGUUACUAAUAGUCAUCCAAGUUAUUGAGAAAAAUAUUGACCACAAUGUACCACUCUCCCACUCCACUUUUUCCUAAUUAAUCUUUCCUUUGGGACUCAGCUAAGUUGUUCAUUCUGCUGGGAGUGCUCCACCCACCCAGAGCUGCCCCGAGUGCCUGCCUUGUGUUCUCUGCAUCCCCUCACCACCUUCCUUUGUGACAAGCAGCUGAGGUGUCUGUAACCCGAAUCAAUACUGGAUCAGCUCCUUGAAGAUAGAGAUUGGGUCACACAAUUAUCCUUAUAUCUUAGAGCACAGCACCUGCCUGGUACAUAGCUGGCAUUCAGAAAAUAUUAGCUACGCAAAAAUGUGUUUAAGUAUUAUAACCUUGAGUUGAUGAAACUCUGAGGCAAGAAAUAGUAUUUAUAGAGGAUUUCAUGAAAAAUGUACAAUUUAUCGAUCUCAUCAGUUCUCAGAUUUGGCUAUAUAUUAAAAUCCCCUGGAAACAUAGAAAAAAUCAGAAUCUCUGGUUGGUGGAGUCCUGUGUUGGUAUUUUGCAAAAGUUCCCAGGACUUCCUAAUGUGCAGCUAGGGUUGGAAACCACUGCUCCAGAAAAUCCACAUUUUACCACUGAAGAACUGCCUGCAUAUCCUGUACCAUUUAGGCCCUGCACUAAAGUGCCUUUAUUGAAUUAUACUUGGGCUUUGUGUCCAAUUUGACUGAACCUGGGAUAUAACUGUGCGACUCUUGUCACCGGAGAUAUGGGGAGAUGUUGUUGUCAAUGGAUCCUCUUUAUGAAGACACACCAGAGAGAUGCCUAUUGGGCAUCAGCACCAAAAAAAGGCCAUGAUCCUCCUGAGCAACCAGUUCAUGUUUGUCUUACGGAUUCCAGGAAUCAUUUAAUUAACACUAUUUUCCAGGUUUGUAGUAGCUGCUGCAAAGCUCAAGAUCAAAGCCAUGGUGCAUCUUUAUCACCUACAAAGAAUUUUGUGGUGUGUGUGUUACAUAUUGACUUGGUUCUGCAUUAUUUUUUGUCUUUUUCUCUUCACCCUCUGAUAUGGUUUAGGUCUGUGUCCCUACCCAAAUCUCAUGUCAAAUUAUAAUUCUCAAUGUUGGAGGAGGGGCCUGGUGGGAGGUGAUUGGAUCAUGGGGGCAGACAUCCCCCUUGCUGUUCUCUCAAUAAUGAGUUUUUAUGAGAUCUGGUCGUUUGAAAGUGUGUAGCACCUCCUCCUUUGCUCUCUUUUUCCUGCUGGCCAUGUGAAGAUGUGCCUGCUUCCCCUUCGCCUUCCGCCAUGAUUGUAAGUUUUCUGAGGCCUCUCCAGAAGCAGAAGCCUGUAUAGCCCACAGAACUAUGAGUCAAUUAAACCUCUUUUCUUUAUAAAUUACCCAGUCUCAAGUAUGUCUUUAUAUCAGUGUGAGAAUGUAUGAAUACACCCUCCUUUCCUUAACUUUUUCUAUAAUAAAGCUUUUUAAUUGAGAUAAUUCACAUAUCAUAAUAUUCGCCCUUUUAAAGUGUACAAUCCAGUGGUUUUUAGUGUAUUUACAAGAUUGUGUGACCAUCACUACUAAUUCCAGACCAUUUCCAUCACCCCAAAAAUAAACUCCACACCCAUUAGCAGUCACUUCUCACUCUCUCUUCCCCUCGACUUACUUUCUGUCUUUAUGGAUUUGCCUGUUCUAGAUAUUUCAUAUCUAGAUAUUUCAUAUAAAUGGAAUCAUACAAUAUGUGGCUUUCUGUGUCUGGUUUCCUGUACUUAGCAUAAUGUUUUCAAGGUUCAUCCAUGGUAUCAGUAGUUUAUUCCUUUUUUAUGGCUGAAUAGUAUUCUAUUGUAUGGACAUACCACAUUUUGUUUAUACAUUCAUCAGCUGUUGGACAUUUGGGUUUCUACUUUUUGGCUAUUAUGAAUUAUGCUGCUGAGAAUAUUCAUGCACAAGUUUUUAUGUGAAUAUGUUUUAGUUCUCUUGGGUACAUAUUAGAAGGGUGGUUUGCUGUGUCAGAUAGUAACUCUGUGUUUAACUUUUUGAGACCCUUUCCUCAUUUAAAGAAAUGUUUUUGUCUUAUAGUAUAGUAUGUAUCUCUGUAAGCCACUACAGAUUCCUCUUUUUGGAAUGAGGUGGCAUAUAAAUAAAUAAAUAAAAAGUCACAAAGCACUCCCAAGCCAUCUGUUUAAUAAUCUGUGCCAGAAUGUUGCCAGGAUUCUAUAUUGAGCCGUUUGGUCUAUAAUUUCCAGAAAUACCUUCUGUCUCCUUGUAAAAAUCGGAACAUUUUCCCAUCUCCACUGUCCUCAAGUAUCUAGGUUGUUUUUCAGUCCUACCUGCAAGGGAUUUCAUGACUCUGGUGUCCUACCUGAAUCAGGCCCCCAGAACUCAUCUAUGGCCACAAAAGGUCUGCCCUCCACCUUCUCAUCUGUCUUGUGACACACUUAAAAUGUUUUGUAUCAAAGUAAUUCAUGCACAUGGUUAAAAAUAAACUAGAACAGAAGAGCUUACAGUCCCCUACCUCAUCCCUCCCACCCCUAGUCUUGCUCCCCAGAGGCAACUGCUUCUAACUCUUUUAGCUCUUUAUUCUGGGAGUAACUUCCAUAUCUCUAAAUAAUAUGCUAAUGCCACUGUUCCUUGGCUUUUCAAGUUUAAACAUCCUCUAUUAAUUUAUAACUAUCAAAAAUGAGGUGGGGCACGGUGGCUCACGCCUGUAAUCCUAGCACUUUGGGAGGGUGAGACAGGCGGAUUGCUUGAGCUCAGGAGUUCAAGACCAGCCAGAGGAACAUGGUGAAACCCUAUCUGUACUAAAAUACAAAAAAUUAGCUGGGUGUGAUGGCACAUGCCUGUAAUCCCAGCUACUUGGGAGGCUGAGACAGGAGAAUUGCUUGGACCUGGGAGGCGGAGGUUGCAGCCUGGGUGACAAAGCCAGACCCUAUCUCACACACACAAAACAAUGAUAAUAAUAAUAAUUUAUCAAAAAUGAGGAUUUAGUUUACAUAUCUAAUCCAAACAACCGUCCCCCCACCCUACUGUCAGUACAGUUAUAUAACUGUUCUUAUUUAAUUCCUCUAAAUAAAAUAAAAAUAAAUCUGUCAAUUACCUCUGUUGCUUUAAGUGACUACAUCUUUAUUUUUCAUCCCACUAGCUGUUGAUAGUAGUUUUGACUCACUGUUUAUAGGAUAAAGAUAUCAUCACUCCUACCUUUCCCUUUAGGCUGCCCUUCCCAACUUCUGUCUUCUGAACAUUUACUUUUUUUUUUUUUUUUGAGACAGAGUCUUGCUCUGUCACCCAGGCUGGAGUGCACCCAGGCUGGAGUGCUAUGGCAUGGUCUUGGCUCACGACAAACCUCCGCCUCUUAGGUUCAAGUGAUCCUUCUGCCUUAGUCUCCCAACUAGCUGGGAUUACAAGAAUGCACGAUCACACCCAGGUAAUUUUUGUAUUUUUAGUAGAGAUAGGGUUUGGCCAUGUUGGCCAAGCUGGUCUCGAACUCCUAACCUCAAGCGAUCCACCCACCUAGGCCUCCCAAAGUGCUGGGAUUACAGGAAUGAGCCACCACGCCUGGCACAUUUACUUUAAAUGUUCAAUGUUGACAACAUUUAUGUUCCAAUUUUCUCAUUAGAUUAUGUUCUAAUCUUCUGUGCUUUGCUUAUAGGUUUCUAAAUGUUUAAAUCCAAUAAAUAGUGUUUACAUUUUGUGACAAUGUAAAUAUUGUUUAUUACAGAGCCACACAAUGUCCUAUGAUGAAUUUUCUUCUUUUAUUUCUUCUAGUUUUUCAUAAGAGUUUCUAAUUGCCUUUCUUCUUCUCGUUUCCCUUCUCUUUUUUCUCUCUCUCUGUCUCUCUCUUUCUUAGACAGGGUCUCACCGUGUCACCCAGGCUGGACUCAAGCCAUCUUUCUAAGUAGCUGGGAUUACAGACAUGUGCCACCAUGCCAGGCUUAUUCUUUAAUAAUACCCUUGUCAUUUCCUCAAGUCUGCUCUCACCUUUCCAGCAAAUGAGUAGAGGUGCCUUAUUUCUCAGGACCUGUUACACAGAGCCCUCUGCCCUUCCGCCACAUAGGUGUUGGCCUGGGGCUUCUUCCUUUCACUGAUGCCCUGGGCCUGGCAGCCCUCUCUCCCUCCCUCCUUCUCUUCCUUUCUUCUGCUUGUUUCUUCUUUGUUUAUGCUCUCAUUUUGCUGUACCACAUCUUUAAUUUCUCAAGGAGUGUGUGGUAUGUAGGUUUUCUGAGUCCCUCAUGUCUGAAAGUAUCAUUGCUCCACCCUCACACUUGAAUGGCAAUUUGGACAGAUAUAGAAUUCUUGAUUGAAAAUUGCUUUGGUCAUUGAAUAUUGAAGGCAUAGUUCUAGCCUUUGCUGGUGAGAACUUUGAGACCAGUCUGAUGCAUAUAUAUAUGUGUAUGUAUAUAUAUAUAUGGAAAUAUAUAUAUAUACAAAUAUAUAUGCAAAUAUAUAUAUGCAAAUAUAUAUACACAUAUAUAUGCAAAUAUAUAUACACACAUAUAUAUGCAAAU
Molecule: long non-coding RNA, 6597 nt
Filed under: Homo sapiens (human)
Lineage: Eukaryota; Metazoa; Chordata; Mammalia; Primates; Hominidae
Description: non-protein coding lnc-ELK4-1:5
Source: RNAcentral